RNAcentral lists this ribosomal RNA (667 nucleotides) under uncultured Pseudomonadota bacterium. Its description in RNAcentral is "bacterial SSU rRNA". It matches the Rfam family "Bacterial small subunit ribosomal RNA", at positions 56 to 700 of the family's 1533-position model. The record is from RNAcentral. Lineage: Bacteria; Pseudomonadati; Pseudomonadota.
UGCAAGUCGCACGAGAAAGUCCACCUUCGGGUGGGUUAGUAAAGUGGCGCACGGGUGAGUAACACGUGGGUAAUCUGCCUUUAAGCUUGGGAUAACACUGCGAAAGCGGUGCUAAUACCGAAUAUGCUCACGGUUUUAUUUCUGUGAGAAAAGAUGGCCUCUGUUUCAUGCUAUCACUUAAAGAUGAGCCCGCGGACCAUUAGCUUGUUGGUGGGGUAAAGGCCUACCAAGGCGAUGAUGGUUAGCUGGCCUGAGAGGGCGGCCAGCCACACUGGAACUGAGACACGGUCCAGACUCCUACGGGAGGCAGCAGUGGGGAAUAUUGCGCAAUGGGGGAAACCCUGACGCAGCGACGCCGUGUGAGUGAUGAAGGUUUUCGGAUCGUAAAGCUCUGUCAGAUGGGAAGAAUAAGACUACGUAAAAUAUACGUGGACGAUGACGGUACCAUCAGAGGAAGCACCGGCUAACUCCGUGCCAGCAGCCGCGGUAAUACGGAGGGUGCAAGCGUUGUUCGGAAUUACUGGGCGUAAAGCGCGUGUAGGCGGAUUUGUAGGUCAGAUGUGAAAGCCCUCAGCUUAACUGAGGAAGUGCAUCUGAAACCGCAUGUCUUGAGUACGAGAGAGGAAAGUGGAAUUCCCAGUGUAGAGGUGAAAUUCAUAGAUAUUGG